GCCGUCGUGGACCAUAGUGGUCAUCCUCUACCUAUAAGUUAUGGGGAGGGUAGGUUAAGAGGGAGCCGGAGGUUCGAUUCCUCCCGACGGCA
This is a non-coding RNA of Mycena epipterygia, 92 nucleotides long. The record is from the annotation of a GenBank genome assembly. NCBI's taxonomy places the organism in Eukaryota, Fungi, Basidiomycota, Agaricomycetes, Agaricales, Mycenaceae.